This 468-nucleotide ribosomal RNA is filed under the name uncultured bacterium. RNAcentral describes it as "partial 16S ribosomal RNA". It matches the Rfam family "Bacterial small subunit ribosomal RNA", at positions 28 to 507 of the family's 1533-position model. The record is from RNAcentral.
GACGAACGCUGGCGGCGUGCUUAACACAUGCAAGUCGAACGGAAAGGCCCUGCUUUUGUGGGGUGCUCGAGUGGCGAACGGGUGAGUAACACGUGAGUAACCUGCCCUUGACUUUGGGAUAACUUCAGGAAACUGGGGCUAAUACCGGAUAGGAGCUCCUGCUGCAUGGUGGGGGUUGGAAAGUUUCGGCGGUUGGGGAUGGACUCGCGGCUUAUCAGCUUGUUGGUGGGGUAGUGGCUUACCAAGGCUUUGACGGGUAGCCCGCCUGAGAGGGUGACCGGCCACCUUGGGACUGAGAUACGGCCCAGACGCCUACGGGAGGCAGCAGUGGGGAAUAUUGCACAAUGGGCGGAAGCCUGAUGCAGCAACGCCGCGUGCGGGAUGACGGCCUUCGGGUUGUAAACCGCUUUCGCCUGUGACGAAGCGUGAGUGACGGUAAUGGGUAAAGAAGCACCGGCUAACUACGUG